Molecule: transfer RNA, 69 nt
Filed under: Glypthelmins quieta
Lineage: Eukaryota; Metazoa; Platyhelminthes; Trematoda; Plagiorchiida; Plagiorchiidae
Description: tRNA-Arg
Source: RNAcentral
GUUUGAUAUCCGUUAGGGGGUUGUGUUUCGGCCACAAUUGUGAAGUAAUAUUUGUAUUUCUAUCAAAGG